AUUGAACGCUGGCGGCAUGCCUAACACAUGCAAGUCGAACGGCAGCGCGGGUAGCUUGCUACCUGGCGGCGAGUGGCGGGCGGGUGAGUAAUGCAUAGGAAUCUGCCCAGUAGCGGGGGAUAGCCCGGGGAAACCCGGAUUAAUACCGCAUACGCCCUACGGGGAAAGCAGGGGAUCUUCGGACCUUGCACUAUUGGAUGAGCCUAUGUCUGAUUAGCUUGUUGGUGGGGUAACGGCCUACCAAGGCGACGAUCAGUAGCUGGUCUGAGAGGACGAUCAGCCACACCGGAACUGAGACACGGUCCGGACUCCUACGGGAGGCAGCAGAGGGGAAUAUUGGACAAUGGGGGAAACCCGUGAUCCAGCAAUGCCGCGUGUGUGAAGAAGGCCUGCGGGUUGUAAAGCACUUUCAGUUGGGAAGAAACAGCAGCCGGCUAAUAUCCGGUUGUCUUGACGUAACCAACAGAAGAAGCACCGGCUAACUCCGUGCCAGCAGCCG
Molecule: ribosomal RNA, 499 nt
Filed under: uncultured bacterium
Lineage: Bacteria
Description: bacterial SSU rRNA
Rfam family: Bacterial small subunit ribosomal RNA
Source: RNAcentral